RNAcentral lists this small nuclear RNA (22 nucleotides) under Arabidopsis thaliana (thale cress). RNAcentral describes it as "snRNA_06591". The record is from RNAcentral. Lineage: Eukaryota; Viridiplantae; Streptophyta; Magnoliopsida; Brassicales; Brassicaceae.
AGAAAAGAAUCUAAAGAGUGUU